Molecule: long non-coding RNA, 349 nt
Organism: Alexandromys fortis (reed vole)
Lineage: Eukaryota; Metazoa; Chordata; Mammalia; Rodentia; Cricetidae
Exons: 4
Source: RefSeq, a predicted model, not a curated record
UUCAGGCAGAGCUGCGGAACAGAUGGGCACGCUGCCAUCAUAGAACCUGGCUGUGCUUGCAGAUGGAGGUGAUCUUGGAAAAGGCAAUCAGAGUUUCUGCUCCUUGGAGUGCUCUUCUGAAAACAUCGACAAUGACAAAAUAGCGUAAAGGCCAGUGGAGUAAUAAUGAAACGGAAAUGAAAUGCCUAACAGAAUGCCUGCACAGCACCACAAGUUUUCUUUUGUUCCUUGGAUAAGUUGCCUCUGAAAAUGGGGCCGUGAUAUUGGCUAGAAUCAGUUAAUGGAGACUCACCUCAUGGCCUCAGAAGGCUUUCUGUUUCUGUGAGCUUCUAUCCCAAUGUGGUAUAUG